GACGAACGCUGGCGGCGUGCCUAAUACAUGCAAGUUGAGCGCUGAAGGUUGGUACUUGUACCAACUGGAUGAGCAGCGAACGGGUGAGUAACGCGUGGGGAAUCUGCCUUUGAGCGGGGGACAACAUUUGGAAACGAAUGCUAAUACCGCAUAAAAACUUUAAACACAAGUUUUAAGUUUUAAAGAUGCAAUUGCAUCACUCAAAGAUGAUCCCGCGUUGUAUUAGCUAGUUGGUGAGGUAAAGGCUCAUCAAGGCGAUGAUACAUAGCCGCCCUGAGAGGGGGAUCGGCCACAUUGGGACUGAGACACGGCCCAAACUCCUACGGGAGGCAGCAGUAGGGAAUCUUCGGCAAUGGACGAAAGUCUGACCGAGCAACGCCGCGUGAGUGAAGAAGGUUGUCGGAUCGUAAAACUCUGUUGGUAGAGAAGAACGUUGGUGAGAGUGGAAAGCUCAUCAAGUGACGGUAACUACACAGAAAGGGACGGCUAACUACGUG
RNAcentral lists this ribosomal RNA (497 nucleotides) under uncultured bacterium. Its description in RNAcentral is "partial 16S ribosomal RNA". It matches the Rfam family "Bacterial small subunit ribosomal RNA", at positions 28 to 507 of the family's 1533-position model. The record is from RNAcentral.